CCAAUGGAGGCGUUUUCCACAAUUGUUGGUACCAUGCCAUGUCUCCCUACUGUCAGUGGUGAUGGCUGUUGACGAAACCUUCAAGAUCGCAAAAAACCUGCAGUACAAGUUGGAUGGAAAAGUUCAGUUCAAAAUCCCAACUGGAGAAGACAUGAGAGAAAUCCUUACAACUGGUGAUGCAUUUCUCAAAGGAUUCAAUGACCUGGUUGUCUUCAUCUCUGAAAAUGUGCAGAAGAUUGAACAGCUGGCAACCUUUCCAGUGAAACAGGCAGACAUCGACCUUCUUACAACUCAGCUGAAAGAUGCCAAGGACUUACCUUUGUGGUAAAGAGAUGAGAUACUUGAAUUUGUGCUUCAGAAAGGUUGGUUUUCUCCAUAUGAUUAUAAGUCUAGCAAUGACUGCAGUAGUUGAUCUCUGGUUUCUAAUUGGUAAAAAAAUGUAGUGUCAAUCUUUAAGGUCAGGAAAGUUUUCAAUGUUGCAGACCUGUG
This is a long non-coding RNA of Amphiprion ocellaris (clown anemonefish), 489 nucleotides long. Lineage: Eukaryota; Metazoa; Chordata; Actinopteri; Pomacentridae. The record is from Ensembl.